Molecule: long non-coding RNA, 955 nt
Organism: Fukomys damarensis (Damara mole-rat)
Lineage: Eukaryota; Metazoa; Chordata; Mammalia; Rodentia; Bathyergidae
Exons: 3
Source: RefSeq, a predicted model, not a curated record
GGUUGGGCCUGGUUGGAGUAGCUGUCUCAUUGGCUUCUUCCUUCUCUGUGUUUCCUGGCUGCCAUGAGUGAGGCGGAGUGGGCUGCGUCCUGGACACAUUUAAGGCUUGCUUUUGAGACUGUCAAAGCUGGAGAAGAGAGAUCAGCUUCUCCUGAGGACUGCAUACAGAGCACAGCACAGUUCUGAGCCACAUAUUUGUAGGAAAAGCCACAGAUGCCUCAUGUGGAAUAAGAACUUGCCUGUGAUCAGCAGGAAGGCAUUUUCUCCCAGCAGGCUGAAAAUCAAAACUGACAGCAAAGUUUGACAGAACCUCAAGGACUCGAAUGCUCUGCAGAGACCAAGUUCAGAUUUGACCAGCACAACAGAGCGGUGAAGGAAGGCAAGAGUGGCGCGAGCGUGUGUGGGCCUUGCUGGACUUUACCCUUUGGGGGCUGUCAGGUUAUCCUGGGAGAACAGAACAAAACACUUCUUCAUACUUCAGCUCUGGACCAAAAUGAACAAUGUGCUCUGUGGUAUUGAUCGACUAUUUCAACACAGCUCACAAAAGAACAGAGAAGAGCAAAGGGAAAAUGCAGCGGAAGUGAUCUGAAAAGAAUGACAGAUGUCUGUAUUUCCUCGUUAGGCUGUGUCGAUCGUUCACCACCGAGCCUCCACCAGAAAUCUGUGAGCCUGCAGCGGCGCUCAGGGCUGCUAUGUCUCACACGAGCACAAACACUGAGCAGCAAUUCUCUUGACACAGUGCGAGCGUCUUCAGUAUCGUCUCUCCAGCUUCUCAGCGUUCAGGGUUGGCAGGGGGACACGAAGAAACUCCUGUUUAGUCUCAGUGGAUACCAAAAGAUCUGGUUCUCAGAGAAAAGCAGAUUUUGCUAACUGGAGUUCCCCAGAGGAACAGCAUCUCAUGCUUGUCUCUCCUACUUUUGAAUGUAUAGAUUUCCAAUAAUUGUAAGACCAUAAU